GUUACAACGAAAAUAACCCUUUUGGGCGCCCCUAUAGGGCUGCCUAUAUACUCAGGGAGAAAGAAGGCUUGGAAGCUGUACCUUUUGUAUCAGGGGGACACAAAAGUAAAGGGAACAGGGAUUCGAAUUAGGCGGAUCUUCUUUGGCUAGCUGGUAAUUGUAUUUAAUGGGUGAAGCUGUAUAAGAGGUGAAAAGUAUACGGCGCCUAUGAUAUCUAGUUGUUUUGGUCCAUGCCGUGGAGAGGCGGCAUAAGGUUUACGGAUGGAGUAAAUAAGGGAAACUAGGCUUUAAAGCAGCCGGGUUGGUAUGGUGUUUUAACUAACUUUAGGGUGCACCCUAGCACUAAAAUUAAUUAUAACUAGUAAAAAUAUUAGUACUAAUAAAUAAUGGGUUUAUUGAAUAAUAAUGGGGCUAAAAAAUAACUCAGACUAAGUUAGAAAGUUUAACAAAAACAUUUCUAUUUGGUGUAGUAAAAGUAAAGCCUGCCCGGUGUGUAUUAACGGCCGCAGUAUAUUGACUGUGCUAAGGUAGCAUAAUCAUUUGUUAUUUAAUUGGUAACUGGAAUGAAGGGUAAAACUAACUUAAAUUUGGUUUGUGUAGUUUAAAAGGAAAUUUAAGUUAAGAUAAUAAUUUCUUAAUUCUCUGGGGGACGAUAAGACCCUAUAAGCUUAACAAAAGGGUACUUAUUAGUUGUAAGAUACGUGUUGUUUUACUGGGGCGGUACUAGAGCGUGAACUUCUAGGAGUGUAGUGGAUCCUUAAAAUAAAGAUUAAAUGGGUAAGUUACUUUAGGGAUAACAGUGUAAUAUAUUUGGAGAGACCUUAUUGAUAAAUAUGAUUGCAACCUCGAUGUU
This 853-nucleotide ribosomal RNA is filed under the name Gammarus nekkensis. RNAcentral describes it as "partial large subunit ribosomal RNA". The stretch from base 617 to 853 matches the Rfam family "Bacterial large subunit ribosomal RNA", at positions 2046 to 2533 of the family's 2925-position model. The record is from RNAcentral. Lineage: Eukaryota; Metazoa; Arthropoda; Malacostraca; Amphipoda; Gammaridae.